RNAcentral lists this small RNA (29 nucleotides) under Bombyx mori (domestic silkworm). RNAcentral describes it as "ovarian small RNA-25231". Lineage: Eukaryota; Metazoa; Arthropoda; Insecta; Lepidoptera; Bombycidae. The record is from RNAcentral.
UCACGACGUGUGCCCCCUGAGGCGGCGCU